CUGCUCGCUUUGGCAGCACAUAUACCAAAGUUGGAACAAUACAGAGAAGAUUAGCAUGGCUCCUGCAGAAGGAUGACACACAAAUUUAUGAAGCGUUCUAUAUUUUU
This 107-nucleotide small nuclear RNA is filed under the name Tupaia belangeri (northern tree shrew). The record is from RNAcentral. Lineage: Eukaryota; Metazoa; Chordata; Mammalia; Scandentia; Tupaiidae.